UCCAUCCUUGACCUCUCAAAGAACUGUUGAUGCCUUGGGAAGGCUGACCUGGAACAGACACUGGACAGUGCUAAGAGAAUAAAGUAGGUAGUUAUUAAAAGACCUUUAAGGAUUCACUUUGGGCAAGACAAGAGCCUGGCCUGGGCUACACCCAAGGUGGACCCAAAAUGGUCACACAAUGGAUGACUGGUCACGAGGUCUCAUACUUUUAUAAGUUUUGAUCCAGUUACAUAUUGGGGUUAGUUGUCCAAUGGCAGCUUGAGAUUAUGAAGUCCCAUCCUUCUUGUUCCUCUCUUCAGUCCACCAUUGUUUGUGCUUUUGGCCCUGAAAACUUGUAACCACUGUCUUUGGUCUCCAUCUGGAAAAGGCUUUGUUUUGGCUACCUACUCUGUUUAGAGAGGUUACUAACACUUAAUUUGAGGUUCAGAACUACACCUCUAGACAGCACAGAAUCUGAAAAACAUGAAAGCUAAAACUUAAGGAAUCACUGCCCUGUUUCACUGCAAAGCAGAGAAGCUCUGGCUCAGGGAGCUGAAAAGAUCCCAACCAUCACACUAUGGUGUCUCAAAUCCCAGUGAUUAGAGCUGAAAUAGGAGAUCCUGGUUCAAAACCCUUGAGUAAUUCAAAUAUCAUUUACCUCUCUCCAGUCUCUUCUGGUUGUCAGACACUCAGCCUUUCUGCAUUGGUUUAAUUUAACACCCAGAUUCAAGGCUGUCAUUCAUUCAGGAAAUAAUCUGUGGGAUCUUAUUUCUCAAAGAAUUUGUGGAGUCUCCCUCACUGGAGAUGUCUAAGAACUGCCUGAACACCCUCCUGUGCCCGGUGCUCUGGGAUGACCCUGCUUGAGCAGGGAGGCUGGACCAGAUGACUCCCUCUGGUCCCUUCCAACCUGACCCAUUCUCUGAUAUAUCAGCAGGGCAUUUUAGGACACAAUACCGUGUAACAGAACUAUUUAUCGUACAAAGGGGAGCCAACGCAAAUCUGCAGGGAUGCAAUCACAUUGCACUACAGCCCCCUUGGUCAUCCAGCAGCAGUCUGCCAGCCUGGGCAUCUCAGCAUCUGCUCCAGCUUGAAAGGAGAUUAUCUAGUGUCAGAGAAAAUGGAUUUAUAGUGACUGAUCCCAUUCAUUUCCUAGAGAACAUGCCAAGUGACUGAAAUAGAAAUGGGGUCAGCAAUUAAUAGGGUAGCUCUCAGUCACUGUCACCGUAUGUUGAUAUGAUGAUGGCUGGUUUAUCUAUUUACCUGAUAAAUAGCUUACUGAAAGUUCUACCAGGACAUGGGUCAAGGAGAGUGGAGACAAAACCCAAGGCAGCUGUACAGACACUGACAUCCUCAUAGAUUUCUUCUCUGGAACUGAAACUUGCAUAAAUAUUUCUCCCGUUUCAGAGAGGGUUUCUUCAUGUCCCUGGGGAAAGUGGAGUGGACGAGUCAAAAUCAGCUGCAGCGUCAGCUGAGCUUUCUGCCCUACCAGGUUCAGCUGGAGACUGCCUGACUUUAUUCCUUACAGAGAUAUCAUAUAUGAUGUAUUUUCUUCAACUGGUAGGAAAACUUUUGAGCACAAGAAACAGAGAUUGAGAAGUGUCUUAAUAAAUGUGCCAUGUCACAAUGGCAGCAGGCCAAGUUGUGGGUUAUGUUGUUGGAGACAUCUUUAGUCCUGCCAUGACAAAGGCUGUUUCAGUUUCUGAUCCUAGUAAUAAGUCCAGCUUUCUCUGCACCUCAUGGAUAAUACCUCUCCAACAGAACUCACAGCACUCUUUUAGAGAGUUGUUAUUCCUUCCUGAGGCAGGAAAUUUCAAGCUUGUCAAAGCACUUUUCUGAGCCAACAAGAGCUACAGUAGAAAAAUUUUGACCAAAACCAGGUUCACAGCUGUCUGAGAGGCUGAAAAAAAGUCACUGUGCAGUUUUUACAACCCCUGGGGAAAAGAUACGUAACUCAGUGUGAGGAAAAGAAAAUGGUCUCUGAGCUGAGUGUGGGAUGGUGAAUCUGCAAGGAGCUGGAGAGCGAUGGCUCCCUCAGCUUUGCAGUCUGCAAACAUUUCACAGUGAGUCUGGCUUAACUGGGUGGCAUUACAGCUUGCCUGGCCCACUAGGGAGCAAAUGUGCUGCUCCCUUCUUCCAGGAUGAUGAAAGAGUGUAAGACAUAAACAGCCACAAUUAUUGUGGGUUUAAAUCUUGGGAACCAGAAGCAAAGGCUCCAUCACCACCCCAAAUUUCUGAGGAGAAGAGACUCAUGUGUCAGGGGGCUGAGUGUCUCAUAGAGCUCACUGAUGUCAAGGAAUGAUGUAUGGGGCAAAUCCUUCUUGGUGAAGAAGGCUGCCUGUAUGCAGUUUUUGGGAUUGGGACACUCUUCUUCAUUAUUUCAGCCUAUAGAGACCUUUGGUAAAACCAUUCAAUCUGAUUAAUCAAACACUUAUGGAUGGCACUGGAAAGAAACUUUCCCAGCUGUGUACAGAUUUUGCAUUUAAACUGCCCUCAUGCUCAUCAAGGCAUAUCCUCGAGGACAGCCACCUAACCUCUGCAUUUCCUAAAAUAAGAUGCCUAUUUUCGAGUAUAAAAAUCUCCCACAAUGCCAAAGCCCAUGUGAAGAGCUGCACACACAGAGCAGCUUUGCUGCCGGGAUGCAGCACCCCAGACACCCUGAUGAGGAUGGUGUGAGGGGCUGGGCGGGCAGCAGCUGGAGCCCUCUGCCGUGGCUGGGUGCAGGGAUGUUCCCACAACACCCAAAGCACGGGGACAACGCUCCUGCAGAAGGGAAACACAGCCCUGUCCUUAUGUCCCUCUACAGAGCACAGCAAAUUUCUCCAUCACCACACCACUCCUGGGACCUAAGGUGGCCCAAGAGACACCAGACAUGGCUCCUUUGCCCUGCUUAUGGCAGAAAGACACGACCCAUGAUUUGGGCUAACUGAAAAGAUGCUCUUUGCCUCAUGUAGGGUGGAAAUCAUUCCACUGCUGCUCAGAAUUGCAGUCUGGAUUACAAAGGCGCCUUCCUUGCUGGCAGCCUUUGCAGUUGCACCAUCAGUGCCAUAGAAUUUAAUUUCCUCCAGAAGCCUCUGAGAAAGUAAAAAUUGUCAGGAUCUUUACUAGAAGUUUCAGCUUCUAUGAUUACUGAGAAUAUCCAUUAAAUGGUAUUAGAACAAGUCUUAAAGCUUCACAGAACUGAAUGCAAAUAAAGACCAAUCCAAAUUUAUUAUUUUUGAAGUCUAAACCCUGUUGAUAAUUUCAGUGGCCCUAGCUCAUGGUUUGUAUAUGUCUUGAUGUGUCAUUACCACUCCUGACAUGAAAUAACCCUACACUGGCUUUGUUUACAGGCAAGGAUUUCCUUCCCUAGUAAAUGAUUGAAAGUAUUCAGUCAAUUAACUCUCCAGAGUUGUUAAUUUAGUAGUUUCCUGAUCACUAACAACCAGUUCUUGAAAAGCAUUAACACCAAACUACUUCAAGAGUGGAAAGUUCUGGUUCAGACCUGUGAAGACCUAACAUCACUUUUCUAAUGCUGCAUUGUUUGAGCCAUAUUCCUUUUCUCUCCAUAGUCUCUUUGCUCUUGGGCAUCUCUCAGAUGGGAGAUAGGGAAGGGAGAUAUGGAAAUCUACUGCUCCAGAAUCAUGUUAACAUGUAUGUUAAGUUGGUCCCUUUGCUGUGCAGAUUGUUGAAGCCUCUGCGAUGUGAUUUGUCUCCUUGAAACAAGGAACCAGCUGUCCCUGGUGUGCAACCACAGACCUGAAGGAUGUUCUGCACCCUGCAGCCCUGCAUGGCUCUUAGUGACUGCUAAACCAUUCUCUUGGUGAGAUGGGAGCCAGAGAAGAGGAAACAGGACAAGCAAGAAGCAAUACUCCUGUGCUGGCAGGACAGUGGGCCAGGAAACUCUCAUCUGUUGGUACUUUUGCAGUGACUUUGGGCAGACUCACUUUCUGGAGCCAGCUCAGCAUGUCUCAGGCUGCAGGCUGUGGAUGUGCUGAGGGUUUAGAGGCAGUGGCACAGCCCCAGGUAGCAGCUCCCAGCACCUCAGUCCCUGCAGUCCCUGCUGCCUGCACUGCUGCCAGCCUGGUGGGAGCUCAAAGGUGCCCUCCUACGUGCUCUGAAUCGUUGCCAUCAGCUGAGUUUCUCCAGGACAGAGAGGUUAUGAAAAAAAGCUUUAAUUACUGGCCACAAACAUUUGCAGUAUUCUUGCCUUGGAGCAACUGAGCUGCAGCCAAAUGGGUGGGACCCAAAGGGAUUAGUACAACACUCAGGCCAGAGCAGGGUUCCUUGAACAUGAGCUUACAGACACACACCAGAAGUUUCUUUCUUGGCAGAUGUAAGGUCUAAAAAAUGUGUCAAGGAGAGCAGGAUGUUCAGUUAGAACUUUAAUAACAAACAGCUGUAAUAAAGCCUGGGCUUCCUACAAGUCAAAAUAAAAUUUGCCACCGAGCUAAGUGGAGCCAGUGCUCCAGCUCACAUAGCUUGGAAAUGCCAGGGUGGAGAGGACCUGGUGAAUUGUCUCCUCCCAGCUGAACUUUGUUUUUCCUUCCAUCACCUUUUCUUCUUCUCCGAUCUCCAUUGGGAUGCCACUGCAUCUUUUCAUAACAGCCUGCAUUUCACAGCAACAAAAAUAUUUCUCCUGAGGUAAUUUGCACCUCCUGCAAGUGGGAGAUUUUCAAAGACUGCCUUCAACUCUGGUUAUUGGACUUCAGAGAACAAACUCAGGAGACAAAUGACCUAUUGAACUUCAGGGUCACUGGCACUCGACAUUUUGGUAAGAAGAGAAGCUGGGGCUCAGGUCAGGCCCUUGUGUAAACCUCAGGUUGAUUACUGAAGUCAAAUCACCCAAAAAUCACAGAAGACUCUUUCCUAUCCCCAUGCAUUUUAUUUUCUUUUUCAUUCCUUUGUUCAUUUUGGAGACAAGCAUUAUAGGAAAACCACAGUAAGCUAUUUCCAGGGCAGCUGUAUGUUUUUUGAUUUGUUGGCAUCCCAGUCAAAUCCUGACUUGCCAAGGGCAUUUAGCACUGUAUCUUGAUCCUGCAUAAGGUCCAAGUUUCACAGCCAUAUUCCCAGCCACCCUCUGGGUGAAGAACUUUUUUGUAAUGUCCAGCAUAAAUCUCCCCUGACACAGCUUCAGGCCAUUCCCUCGGGUCCUGUCACUGGCCACCACAUUAUGGCUUUGAUCUCAGGGUAAUAUACAGUAACAUACUGGUCCAAGUGGGUGAUGGGCAAAUUGGACAGCAAGGCCCAGGGGUCUGUCUGUAAAUAACACCUACAAGGUUGGGUUUGUAUCCCAGGGACAUGGCUUGCAAGCUCUUUGGGGGAUGCUGUUGCUGAGUGGGGGCUGUACCAGCACCCACAACCAUGACCUCAAAGACUGUCCCAACCUCAGCAAGUACCACUAAAGUCACCACUAAAGUCACUACUAAAUCAAUCAAUCAAUCAAUCAAUCAAACACUAUUCUUCAGCCACAGCAUCUCUUCUAUUCUGCCUUUACAAGUCUUCACUCAUACCUCAGACCUGCUGGCUCCUCAUGCUGAGACAGUGCCCAGAUCCUGUGGAUUUGACUUUAGUAGAGAGAACUUUUAGAAGCUGAGAGGGAGCUUAGACAAGAUUGAAGCAAAUCAUGUGUAGGCCAGAUCCUAAAUAUAGUUGGAAUACCACCCUUACUUGGCUAUGGAGUCUUUCCAAACCAAAUUCUUCUUCAAAUGCCUUUUUAGCUGUUGGAAAUUCAGCUUGGGUAUAAACCAAAUUGUUUUUCCAGAUACAUUUCUGGAAGUAGAUGUGAGCAUGCAGAAGAAAAACUAUCCUUGUAGCUGCAUAUUUGAUUCUCUUACAUUCUGGGAACUUGCUGCAUAUGACAAAAGGCAGGAAGUGAGACUACACAGCGGCCUCUGCUAGCAUCUUCCUUUUUGUGAGAUGCUUUUCAAGUCCACACACAACCCAUUCUCUCCCCCAUCCUGCUUGGGUGAAGUGAAGGAACAGCUGUGUGGUGUUUAAUUGACAGCUGGGGCUAAAGCACAACAUGCAGUUUUCAAAUUGCUUCUGCAAUAAUGAUCCAGACACUGCUUUGGAUUACCUGGAGAUACUGGUGGGAGAGCAUGUGUGUCAGGUUUAAGUCUAUUACAGCAAAGUACAAAUAGAUUUUAGUCUUUCCCAAAUCUCAUCCUGUCCCCAGUUGUCAGGUGAAAUGAUAAAGCAAGGAUACCUCCCCAAAGAGAUUCACUUAAAGGCUUAAAAAAACAGCUGAAGCAUGUUGAUUUUUUUUCCUCCGAUCUAAAAAAUUUGGUUUCUAAAUUCUGGAUCAAAUUAUUCUUGGCUUUCUCUCACACAGAUUCAACAACUCCAAUGGGUUUCUCUCAGUCCCCAAACAACUCCAAUGGCACUGAGGAAAGCAGAGUAUUAAGGACAACAUACAAAGCAGCACAAAAAUCUUGACAGUUCUAUUUAAAGUGACUUUAUUAAAACAUCGUUAAUAUAAAAUGUGACCAAAUACAAUUUCGUUUUUGUAAGAAUGUUUAAUAAAAACAUAUUCAAGAAAGGAGGAGCAUCAACUCUUGUCAAAGCACAGGAAAAACCUACCAGGAUAAGUAAAAAGUUCUGCAGCAUGUUCUACCAGCUGGUCCCAAUGUGUAUUAGGGUUGAGUUAGCCGAUGUAAGAGACAGGCAGCCCAGGUUCUUCCCUAAGAAGCUUUAAGGUAUUACCAGAGAUUUAAAGUAACGCUCCUUGACAGUAGGAGACUUUGUUUUCUCCCCAAAUCAGAAUAAGAUUAGAAUGUGCAUCUCCAUUUUGGAUUUACUACUUUUCAGCAGCUGAAUGUACAGAAAAUCAGAUUCACUGGUAACUGUAAACCCCAAGAUUAACAUUUGUUAGCUUUAAAAGGAAGGUGCAACAUUAGUCACUAAUCUAAAGAAUUUGUGUUAAAGUUGUUCUAAGCUGUAUUAACUCUGGAUGCAUGUAGCAAAUGCUACAAAAGAAAAAAACAGCAGUAAAGUCCGGGAUCGUAGCAACAAAUAUUUUCUGAACUGCUGAAUGCAGAGAUAAUAUCCACAAACUACAGAGUUUGUACAUCUCAGGAAGAAUGUAGAGAAGCCUUCAGAAGCUAUAAAAGCUUCUUUUCAGAAACUAUUUUUCUAUAAGUAAGAGUAUCCUAUGCAAUGACUUCUACUUUGUGCCAAUCUUACUGUUUAGCUAAGGAACCUUUUAAGAAAACACUAGAAAAAGUGGAGGUUUUGGCCUUGGUGGUUCUUUUUUUUGUUUGUUUUUUGUCUUUUUUUGGUGGGGUGUGGGAGCAAGAGGGGAGGAUAUGCAUACGGCAUUUUCCUUGCCCAACAAGUACAUUUUAAUGCUCUAUCAGCAUACUCUGCUUGCUCAGAGCAAGCAACACACCGAUUAGAGGCAAGGAUUCCUCCAGGACAUUGCAAACUCUUCCUGUAACAAGCAGAAAAAAUCCUGCCGCAUCCAAUUCUGCACAUCUAACUGCCCCUGGCACUGAACCAAAUGUCAAGUGCUAAUCCAUGAGAAGCCUAGCACAACUAUGGCUUAGGAGAUGGUGACCUUCUUACAGCCUUGGCUGGGACCCAUUGGAGCCCUGUGUUUGCCUUCUACCCCAAACAAAUGCUCUGGGACUAUUGCUGAGGUAAAGGGAAAAGUCAAACCUUUGGCAUUGGAGCAGACCAGUCACUGGCUGUGCGUAGGGGAAUUAAGGCUUCAAGGUGAGGUAAACACAGUGAGAAUCAGUGUGUAAAUCAUGCUGCAUUUUAGAGACAACAGAUCCAAACGACAGCUACUCUUGUUCUCUACAUUUUAAACACCAAAGAUCAUUCAAAAGCAGAACUGGAGGCAACACUGCCGAGGGCCACCUUGAGAUGCCUCUCUGCACCUUAGGAAAAAAUGCAACCCAGAUGUUGAACACUAAAGAGGAUGAACCCACAAGGAGGAAAAAGCACCAAAGUUGAUGAGUCCUUGAGACGAUAAGCUGCUUAAAAAACAAAAAAGCCUCACACUGCUGUGGCUUCCCAUAAACAUAGUGGUUUACUGACACAAAGGUAAUCUACACUCCAGAAAUUCUCAGUGCUGUAGUUCCAGCACUAGUAUUAUGAAGAGUUAUGCUCUAGUAAGGAGGCAGUGAAAUUGUGUUCCCUGAAGAAUUUCUCCAAUUCAUUAGGUGUUGUCCCACUCUCUUCUAUCUACCCCCAAGUCCUCAAUCCAAAGACCAGAAACACCAUUCCCUUGGUCAUUUUUCUAACUCUUUAAGUUAUUUUAGCAGAUUUUUAGGGUACAAACACAGUGCUUUUUUGGAUCCAUCAUUUUGGCAAUGCCUUUGCCUUCUUUAGAAGAAAAGUGUCUUCAGUAAAGUGGUACAAAAGAUACUUUGAAAUGAAACAAGAUCUACAAAUCAAUGUAAUUCUGGAUGCUUGCUUUUCAUCCUAUUUUUUGCCAGCUAUCUGAAGUAUGGUUGGAACCACUGCACGUGCAACACUAUUUCUUACAAGCCAUGCUAGCAAGGUUUCCACUGAAAACACCAAUCUGGUCCUGUAGGUUCCAUUUCUAGGAUACAGAGACUCUCAUUUGUGUUUCUUUAACAUGUACAGUAACUUCUCCCAUCCUCUCAAUACAGUAGCUACUAAAAAUUUUAACAGAUAUUAAAAAAAAUAUCCAAAUGAAACCA
Molecule: long non-coding RNA, 8627 nt
Organism: Prinia subflava (tawny-flanked prinia)
Lineage: Eukaryota; Metazoa; Chordata; Aves; Passeriformes; Cisticolidae
Exons: 3
Source: RefSeq, a predicted model, not a curated record